CAAGCAGGCGGUUGUUUAAGUCAAUUAUGAAAGCCCUAGGCUAAACUUGGGGAGGCUAGUUGAUACUGAACGACUAGAGUGAAGAAGAGGGAUGUAGAAUUCCGCGUGUAGUGGUGAAAUGCGUAGAUAUGCGGAGGAAUACCAGAGGCGAAGGCGACAUCCUGGUCUUUAACUGACGCUGAGGUGCGAAAGCAUGGGUAGCGAACG
This 207-nucleotide ribosomal RNA is filed under the name uncultured bacterium. RNAcentral's name for it is "partial 16S ribosomal RNA". It matches the Rfam family "Bacterial small subunit ribosomal RNA", at positions 568 to 774 of the family's 1533-position model. The record is from RNAcentral.